This 496-nucleotide ribosomal RNA is filed under the name uncultured bacterium. RNAcentral's name for it is "partial 16S ribosomal RNA". It matches the Rfam family "Bacterial small subunit ribosomal RNA", at positions 29 to 507 of the family's 1533-position model. The record is from RNAcentral.
AUGAACGCUGGCGGCGUGCCUAAUCCCUGCAAGUCGAGCGAACGGACGAGAAGCUUGCUUCUCUGAUGUUAGCGGCGGACGGGUGAGUAACACGUGGAUAACCUACCUAUAAGACUGGGAUAACUUCGGGAAACCGGAGCUAAUACCGGAUGAUAUUUUGAACCGCAUGGUUCAAAAGUGAAAGACGGUCUUGCUGUCACUUAUAGAUGGAUCCGCGCUGCAUUAGCUAGUUGGUAAGGUAACGGCUUACCAAGGCAACGAUGCAUAGCCGACCUGAGAGGGUGAUCGGCCACACUGGAACUGAGACACGGUCCAGACUCCUACGGGAGGCAGCAGUAGGGAAUCUUCCGCAAUGGGCGAAAGCCUGACGGAGCAACGCCGCGUGAGUGAUGAAGGUCUUCGGAUCGUAAAACUCUGUUAUUAGGGAAGAACAUAUGUGUAAGUAACUGUGCACAUCUUGACGGUACCUAAUCAGAAAGCCACGGCUAACUACGUG